GACGAACGCUGGCGGCGUGCCUAACACAUGCAAGUCGAGCGAGAAGCUUAUGAACGAGCCUUCGGGCAAGUGAUUAAGUGGAAAGCGGCGGACGGGUGAGUAACGCGUGAGUAAUCUGCCUUAAGGAGGGGGAUAACACAGAGAAAUCUGUGCUAAUACCGCAUAACAUAUAUCUUUCGCAUGUUAGAUAUAUCAAAACUCCGGUGCCUUAAGAUGAGCUCGCGUCCGAUUAACUAGUUGGUGAGGUAAUGGCUCACCAAGGUUACGAUCGGUAGCCGGACUGAGAGGUUGAACGGCCACAUUGGAACUGAGACACGGUCCAGACUCCUACGGGAGGCAGCAGUGGGGGAUAUUGCGCAAUGGGGGAAACCCUGACGCAGCAACGCCGCGUGAAGGAAGAAGGUCUUCGGAUUGUAAACUUCUGUCCUUGGUGACGAAGAAAGUGACGGUAGCCAAGGAGGAAGCCCCCGGGCUAACUACGUG
This 483-nucleotide ribosomal RNA is filed under the name uncultured bacterium. Its description in RNAcentral is "bacterial SSU rRNA". It matches the Rfam family "Bacterial small subunit ribosomal RNA", at positions 28 to 507 of the family's 1533-position model. The record is from RNAcentral.